Molecule: ribosomal RNA, 253 nt
Filed under: uncultured bacterium
Lineage: Bacteria
Description: partial 16S ribosomal RNA
Rfam family: Bacterial small subunit ribosomal RNA
Source: RNAcentral
UACGUAGGGUGCGAGCGUUAUUCGGAAUUACUGGGCGUAAAGCGUGCGCAGGCGGUUUUGUAAGACAGAUGUGAAAUCCCCGGGCUUAACCUGGGAACUGCAUUUGUGACUGCAUGGCUGGAGUGCGGCAGAGGGGGAUGGAAUUCCGCGUGUAGCAGUGAAAUGCGUAGAUAUGUGGAGGAACACCGAUGGCGAAGGCAAUCCCCUGGGCCUGCACUGACGCUCAUGCACGAAAGCGUGGGGAGCAAACAGG